Molecule: unclassified non-coding RNA, 355 nt
Filed under: soil metagenome
Description: partial contains 5.8S ribosomal RNA, internal transcribed spacer 2, and large subunit ribosomal RNA
Rfam family: 5.8S ribosomal RNA (bases 1-120)
Source: RNAcentral
GAUGAAGAACGUAGCGAAAUGCGAUAAGUAAUGUGAAUUGCAGAAUUCAGUGAAUCAUCGAAUCUUUGAACGCACAUUGCGCCCAUUAGUAUUCUAGUGGGCAUGCCUGUUCGAGCGUCAUUAAGUCCACUUAAGCCCUGCUUAGUGUUGGGAGACUGCUCCAGCGGUGCUACCCUGUAGCUACCCUGCAGCUCCUCAAAGACAGCGGCGGAGUUGUGGAAUCCUCUGAGCUUAGUAACUUGUUCUAGCUUUCGAGUACACCACUUCCCCUGCCGUAAAACCCUUAAUUUUUAAUGGUUGACCUCGGAUCAGGUAGGAAUACCCGCUGAACUUAAGCAUAUCAAUAAGCGGAGGA